This 1067-nucleotide long non-coding RNA is filed under the name Phascolarctos cinereus (koala). Its description in RNAcentral is "lncRNA (ENSPCIG00000024343.2)". Lineage: Eukaryota; Metazoa; Chordata; Mammalia; Diprotodontia; Phascolarctidae. The record is from RNAcentral.
CUGAGAUGCCUAUGAGAAAUCCAGUUUAAAAUAAACAAUAGACAGGUAGCUGGUGAUGCAGGCUGACUUCUGAUGUCAUAAGGGCAAGUAUCACCAUGGCAAGAAGAACACAAAACAUUGCACUCAAUUCUUAUCAAUCUCAGUCUUCAUAGAGCAGACAAAGAAGGCGGCUGGUACUUGGAGUCAAAGGGAUAAAAUGUAGAAGACAACAUACUUUAUUAACAAAGAUUUGUCAGGACCCCUAUAGAUGGGAAGGAGAGGAAAUUAACAACAAAAGGAUCUAAAUAUCAUCUAUGAGAGAUUCAAAAUGAAUUUAAGCGGGGAAGGAACACCUUAAACAUCAGUAAUGAAAACCCACUACCAAUCUCAAGAGCACCAGAACUUAUCGCUGGACUGUUGUCAAGGGAAAGAAGCUUGAACUGUACAGAUAUUAAGGGGAAAGAAUAUUUGCGACUUAAAUCAGGACUUCUGACAAUUUAUUUAUCAGACAAGAAAAACUAUGAAGACCAUACUUUCUGAGAAGACAAGAAGAAAACUUUUUUUGAGUAAAAAUGGAGUAAAUCCUAUGCCCUCUAUGCAAGCACGGAAGCCGAAACACACAAAACACUGUCAAGUUGGUGGAAGCGAAAACAUUUUCUUGGGAAGUGGUCACCUUCAAGAAGCAAAUGAAAAGGCAUCAAUGGGUACCUCCACAUCCGAAAAGAAAAGGCAAUUACUGGUCUUCCUCUGGAAGAAAGACUAGAAGAUUAAAUGCAACAUUUUUAGCAAAAAAAAAAAGUCCUUCAAAGCUACUGUAAUUAACACAAGAACCUUUCAUCUCUAUCUUUCCCAACGAAAUUUCAAGAACUAAAAAGACGUAUUCCCAAGAUACUCCUGACUCUUUCCUUCUCACAUCUGUUCAGGGAUUUUGUUAUCAACACCUAAGGGGCACAACAGAAAAUCACAAGUCAUUUCAGCAUAUCCUUACAGGCCUCUACACCAAGAAACUGAGAGAUGAAAAGAAAUCAACACAAAUACUUUGAGUAGUGCAAGCACAAAGCACACAAUAAAGAACUUGCACCAUCUCA